This is a long non-coding RNA of Balaenoptera ricei (Rice's whale), 499 nucleotides long. RefSeq lists it as uncharacterized. NCBI's taxonomy places the organism in Eukaryota, Metazoa, Chordata, Mammalia, Artiodactyla, Balaenopteridae. The record is from RefSeq and is a predicted model, not a curated record. The transcript has 2 exons.
UGCUGCCCUGGCGGCCGCCGGCGGAGACAGACAAAGACCCGGGAGCUGGGGGCGCGGGGCGUGUCCCCAGGCUCCGGGAGCCCCCUGGCCAAAACCGGUCGUAACUCACCUGGAGACUGGGGCGGAGCGGCGGGCGGAGGUGGCUCUGAGGACUUCCCUGGUGGUGCAGUGGUUGAGAGCCUGCCUGCUAAUGCAGGGGACACAGGUUCGAGCCCUGGUCCGGGAGGAUCUCACAUGCCGCAGAGCAACUAAGCCCAUGCGCCACAACUACUGAGCCUGCACUCUGGAACCUGCAAGCCACAACUGCUGAGUCCACGUGCCACAACUACUGAAGCCUGUGCGCCUAGGGUCCAUGCUCCGCAACAAGAGAAACCACAGCGAUGAGAAGCCCGCACACCACAAGGAGCAGCCCCCGCUCGCCGCAACUAGAGGGGGCCUGCGCGCAGCAACGAAGACCCAAUGCAGCCAAAAAUAAAUAAAUAAAUAAAUAUUUUAAAAA